This 500-nucleotide ribosomal RNA is filed under the name uncultured Glomeromycotina. RNAcentral's name for it is "partial small subunit ribosomal RNA". It matches the Rfam family "Eukaryotic small subunit ribosomal RNA", at positions 591 to 1092 of the family's 1831-position model. Lineage: Eukaryota; Fungi; Glomeromycota. The record is from RNAcentral.
CCAAUAGCGUAUAUUAAAGUUGUUGCAGUUAAAAAGCUCGUAGUUGAAUUUCGGGGUUAGUAGGUUGGUCGUGCCUAUGGUAUGUACUGGCUUUACUGAUUCCUCCUUCUUGAAGAACUGUAAUGUCAUUAAUUUGGUGUUGCAGGGAAACAGGACUGUUACUUUGAAAAAAUUAGAGUGUUUAAAGCAGGCUAACGCUUGAAUACAUUAGCAUGGAAUAAUGAAAUAGGACGUUUGAUCCUAUUUUGUUGGUUUCUAGGAUUGACGUAAUGAUUAAUAGGGAUAGUUGGGGGCAUUAGUAUUCAAUUGUCAGAGGUGAAAUUCUUGGAUUUAUUGAAGACUAACUACUGCGAAAGCAUUUGCCAAGGAUGUUUUCAUUAAUCAAGAACGAAAGUUAGGGGAUCGAAGACGAUCAGAUACCGUCGUAGUCUUAACCAUAAACUAUGCCGACUAGGGAUCGGAUGAUGUUAAUUUUUUAAUGACUCAUUCGGCGCCUUACG